AGAAAAGGAAAAUUUGGAUUUCCGUGUCCAAUUUUGACUGUCCGUCUUAUAUGGAAUUUUUUUAUAAUUCGUAUUUUCAUUGUUGUUAUCAUUAUUAUUAGAUGAUAAAACAUGAUUAAUAUUUUAUGCGUGACUUGUCUUUUUUAUUUUUUUCGUAAUUUUUUCAAAUAAGACGAACGGUCAAACGUUGGACACGGAAAUCAGGGUUUGUCUUUUU
Molecule: non-coding RNA, 217 nt
Organism: Oryza glumipatula
Lineage: Eukaryota; Viridiplantae; Streptophyta; Magnoliopsida; Poales; Poaceae
Source: Rfam